GACGAACGCUGGCGGCGUGCUUAACACAUGCAAGUCGAACGGAAAGACCCUGCUUUUGUGGGGUGCUCGAGUGCCGAACGGGUGAGUAACACGUGAGUAUCCUGCCCUUGACUUUGGGAUAACUUCACGAAACUGGGGCUAAUAUCGGAUAGGAUCUCCUGCUCCAUGUUGUGGGUUGGAAAGUUUCGGCGGUUGGGGCUGGACUCGCGGCUUAUGCGCUUGUUGGUGGGGUAGUGGCUUACCAAGGCUUUGACGGGUAGCCGGCCUGAGAGGGUGGACGGGCACAAGGGGACUGAGGGAGGGCCCAGACGGGUACGGGAGGCAGCAGGGGGGAGUAUUGCACAAUGGGCGGAAGUGUGAUGUGGAAGCGCUGCGUGCGGGAUGACGGCCUUCGGGUUGUAAACAGCUGUCGCCUGUGACGAAGCGUGAGUGACGGUAAUGGGUAAAGAAGCACCGGCUAACUACGUG
RNAcentral lists this ribosomal RNA (468 nucleotides) under uncultured bacterium. RNAcentral's name for it is "partial 16S ribosomal RNA". It matches the Rfam family "Bacterial small subunit ribosomal RNA", at positions 28 to 507 of the family's 1533-position model. The record is from RNAcentral.